AUUGAACGCUGGCGGCAUGCUUUACACAUGCAAGUCGAACGGUAGAGGGGGCAACCCCUUGAGAGUGGCGAACGGGUGAGUAAUGCAUCGGAACGUGCCCAGUCGUGGGGGAUAACGCAGCGAAAGCUGUGCUAAUACCGCAUACGAUCUCUGGAUGAAAGCGGGGGACCGAAAGGCCUCGCGUGAUUGGAGCGGCCGAUGUCCGAUUAGGUAGUUGGUGGGGUAAAGGCUCACCAAGCCAACGAUCUGUAGCUGGUCUGAGAGGACGACCAGCCACACUGGGACUGAGACACGGCCCAGACUCCUACGGGAGGCAGCAGUGGGGAAUUUUGGACAAUGGGCGCAAGCCUGAUCCAGCAAUGCCGCGUGCAGGAAGAAGGCCUUCGGGUUGUAAACUGCUUUUGUACGGAACGAAAAGGUCUGGGUUAAUACCCUGGGCACAUGACGGUACCGUAAGAAUAAGCACCGGCUAACUACGUGCCAGCCGCCGCGGUAA
RNAcentral lists this ribosomal RNA (496 nucleotides) under uncultured bacterium. RNAcentral's name for it is "partial 16S ribosomal RNA". It matches the Rfam family "Bacterial small subunit ribosomal RNA", at positions 30 to 523 of the family's 1533-position model. The record is from RNAcentral.